This 497-nucleotide ribosomal RNA is filed under the name uncultured bacterium. RNAcentral's name for it is "partial 16S ribosomal RNA". It matches the Rfam family "Bacterial small subunit ribosomal RNA", at positions 28 to 507 of the family's 1533-position model. The record is from RNAcentral.
GAUGAACGCUGGCGGCGUGCCUAAUACAUGCAAGUCGAGCGAACGGACGAGAAGCUUGCUUCUCUGAUGUUAGCGGCGGACGGGUGAGUAACACGUGGAUAACCUACCUAUAAGACUGGGAUAACUUCGGGAAACCGGAGCUAAUACCGGAUAAUAUUUUGAACCGCAUGGUUCAAAAGUGAAAGACGGUCUUGCUGUCACUUAUAGAUGGAUCCGCGCUGCAUUAGCUAGUUGGUAAGGUAACGGCUUACCAAGGCAACGAUGCAUAGCCGACCUGAGAGGGUGGUCGGCCACACUGGAACUGAGACACGGUCCAGACUCCUGCGGGAGGCAGCAGUAGGGAAUCUUCCGCAAUGGGCGAAAGCCUGACGGAGCAGCGCCGCGUGAGUGAUGAAGGUCUUCGGAUCGUAAAACUCUGUUAUUAGGGAAGAACAUAUGUGUAAGUAACUGUGCACGUCUUGACGGUACCUAAUCAGAAAGCCACGGCUAACUACGUG